GGCAGGAUGGCCGAGUUGGUUAUGGCGCCAGGUUAAGGCUACCUUAAUAUCGAUUAGCUUCGAAAUCCUGGUUCGGGAAACUGAGCGUGGGUUCAAGUCCCACUCCUGUCA
Molecule: non-coding RNA, 111 nt
Organism: Ascodesmis nigricans
Lineage: Eukaryota; Fungi; Ascomycota; Pezizomycetes; Pezizales; Ascodesmidaceae
Source: the annotation of a GenBank genome assembly